Molecule: ribosomal RNA, 490 nt
Filed under: uncultured bacterium
Lineage: Bacteria
Description: partial 16S ribosomal RNA
Rfam family: Bacterial small subunit ribosomal RNA
Source: RNAcentral
AUUGAACGCUGGCGGCAGGCCUAACACAUGCAAGUCGAACGGUAACAGGAAGAAGCUUGCUUCUUUGCUGACGAGUGGCGGACGGGUGAGUAAUGUCUGGGAAACUGCCUGAUGGAGGGGGAUAACUACUGGAAACGGUAGCUAAUACCGCAUAACGUCGCAAGACCAAAGAGGGGGAGCUUCGGGCCUCUUGCCAUCGGAUGUGCCCAGAUGGGAUUAGCUAGUAGGUGGGGUAACGGCUCACCUAGGCGACGAUCCCUAGCUGGUCUGAGAGGAUGACCAGCCACACUGGAACUGAGACACGGUCCAGACUCCUACGGGAGGCAGCAGUGGGGAAUAUUGCACAAUGGGCGCAAGCCUGAUGCAGCCAUGCCGCGUGUAUGAAGAAGGCCUUCGGGUUGUAAAGUACUUUCAGCGGGGAGGAAGGGAGUAAAGUUAAUACCUUUGCUCAUUGACGUUACCCGCAGAAGAAGCACCGGCUAACUCCGUG